RNAcentral lists this ribosomal RNA (437 nucleotides) under uncultured Oscillospiraceae bacterium. Its description in RNAcentral is "bacterial SSU rRNA". It matches the Rfam family "Bacterial small subunit ribosomal RNA", at positions 341 to 792 of the family's 1533-position model. The record is from RNAcentral. Lineage: Bacteria; Bacillati; Bacillota; Clostridia; Eubacteriales; Oscillospiraceae.
ACGGGAGGCAGCAGUGGGGAAUAUUGGGCAAUGGGCGAGAGCCUGACCCAGCAACGCCGCGUGAAGGAAGAAGGUCCUCGGAUUGUAAACUUCUUUUAUGAGGGACGAAGGACGUGACGGUACCUCAUGAAUAAGCCACGGCUAACUACGUGCCAGCAGCCGCGGUAAUACGUAGGUGGCAAGCGUUAUCCGGAUUUACUGGGUGUAAAGGGCGCGUAGGCGGGGAUGCAAGUCAGAUGUGAAAUCUAUGGGCUUAACCCGUAAACUGCAUUUGAAACUGUAUCUCUUGAGUGCUGGAGAGGUAGACGGAAUUCCUAGUGUAGCGGUGAAAUGCGUAGAUAUUAGGAAGAACACCAGUGGCGAAGGCGGUCUACUGGACAGUAACUGACGCUGAGGCGCGAAAGCGUGGGGAGCAACCAGGAUUAGAUACCCUGGUA